RNAcentral lists this ribosomal RNA (323 nucleotides) under uncultured eukaryote. RNAcentral describes it as "partial 18S ribosomal RNA". It matches the Rfam family "Eukaryotic small subunit ribosomal RNA", at positions 1470 to 1796 of the family's 1831-position model. The record is from RNAcentral.
CCCUUAGAUGUUCUGGGCCGCACGCGCGCUACACUGAUGCUUUCAACGAGUUUUUCCCUUGAUAGAGAUGUCUGGGUAAUCUUUUGAAUGAGCAUCGUGCUAGGGAUAGUUUAUUGCAAUUAUUAAACUUGAACGAGGAAUUCCUAGUAAACGCAAGUCAUCAGCUUGUGUUGAUUACGUCCCUGCCCUUUGUACACACCGCCCGUCGCUCCUACCGAUUGAAUGUUCCGGUGAGCUCUUCGGACUGCGCGGUCUGCAGUUUCUGCGUUCCGUGCGGAAAGUUGCGCAAACCUUAACAUUUAGAGGAAGGAGAAGUCGUAACA